GAUGAACGCUGGCGGCGUGCCUAAUACAUGCAAGUCGAGCGAACAGACGAGGAGCUUGCUCCUCUGACGUUAGCGGCGGACGGGUGAGUAACACGUGGAUAACCUACCUAUAAGACUGGGAUAACUUCGGGAAACCGGAGCUAAUAGCGGAGAAGAUAUUGAACCGCAGGGGGCAAUAGUGAAAGACGGUGUUGCUGGCACUUAUAGCUGGAUCCGCGCCGCAUUAGCGAGUUGGUAAGGUAACAGCUUACCAAGGCAACGAUGCGUAGCCGACCUGAGAGGGUGAUCGGCCACACUGGAACUGAGACACGGUCCAGACUCCUACGGGAGGCAGCAGUAGGGAAUCUUCCGCAAUGGGCGAAAGCCUGACGGAGCAACGCCGCGUGAGUGAUGAAGGUCUUCGGAUCGUAAAACUCUGUUAUUAGGGAAGAACAAAUGUGUAAGUAACUAUGCACGUCUUGACGGUACCUAAUCAGAAAGCCACGGCUAACUACGUG
This 497-nucleotide ribosomal RNA is filed under the name uncultured bacterium. RNAcentral describes it as "partial 16S ribosomal RNA". It matches the Rfam family "Bacterial small subunit ribosomal RNA", at positions 28 to 507 of the family's 1533-position model. The record is from RNAcentral.